This 1533-nucleotide ribosomal RNA is filed under the name uncultured bacterium. Its description in RNAcentral is "bacterial SSU rRNA". It matches the Rfam family "Bacterial small subunit ribosomal RNA". The record is from RNAcentral.
AGAGUUUGAUCCUGGCUCAGGACGAACGCUGGCGGCGUGCCUAACACAUGCAAGUCGAACGAAGCAUUUGGAGCUGAUCUCUUCGGAGUGACGCACCUUAUGACUUAGUGGCGGACGGGUGAGUAACACGUGAGCAACCUGCCUCUCAGAGUGGAAUAACAGUUGGAAACGGCUGCUAAUACCGCAUAACGUCAUAGUACCGCAUGAUACCUUGACCAAAGAUUUAUCGCUGAGAGAUGGGCUCGCGUCCGAUUAGGUAGAUGGUGGGGUAACGGCCUACCAUGCCGACGAUCGGUAGCCGGACUGAGAGGAAGGUCCCCCACAUUGGAACUGAGACACGGUCCAAACUCCUACGGGAGGCAGCAGUGAGGAAUAUUGGUCAAUGGGCGAGAGCCUGAACCAGCCAAGUAGCGUGCAGGACGACGGCCCUAUGGGUUGUAAACUGCUUUUAUGCGGGGAUAAAGUGCGGCACGUGUGCCGUUUUGUAGGUACCGCAUGAAUAAGGACCGGCUAAUUCCGUGCCAGCAGCCGCGGUAAUACGGAAGGUCCGGGCGUUAUCCGGAUUUAUUGGGUUUAAAGGGAGCGCAGGCCGGAGGUCAAGCGUGACGUGAAAUGUAGCCGCUCAACGGCUGAGUUGCGUCGCGAACUGGCUUCCUUGAGUGAGUGCGACGUCAGCGGAAUUCGUGGUGUAGCGGUGAAAUGCUUAGAUAUCACGAAGAACCCCGAUUGCGAAGGCAGCUGACGAGCCCUUUACUGACGCUAAAGCUCGAAGGUGCGGGUAUCGAACAGGAUUAGAUACCCUGGUAGUCCGCACGGUAAACGAUGGAUGCCCGCUGUAUGCGAUACAAUGUAUGCGGCCAAGCGAAAGCGUUAAGCAUCCCACCUGGGGAGUACGCCGGCAACGGUGAAACUCAAAGGAAUUGACGGGGGCCCGCACAAGCGGAGGAACAUGUGGUUUAAUUCGAUGAUACGCGAGGAACCUUACCCGGGCUUGAACUGCAGAGGAAUGCGGUGGAGACACCAAAGCCCUUCGGGGCCUCUGUGGAGGUGCUGCAUGGUUGUCGUCAGCUCGUGCCGUGAGGUGUCGGCUUAAGUGCCAUAACGAGCGCAACCCCUUUCGCCAGUUGCCAUCAGGUGAUGCUGGGCACUCCGGCGACACUGCCACCGCAAGGUGUGAGGAAGGUGGGGAUGACGUCAAAUCAGCACGGCCCUUACGUCCGGGGCUACACACGUGUUACAAUGGGGGGUACAGAGAGUCAGGCGUUGGCAACACCGCCUUAAUCCAAAAAGCCAUCCUCAGUUCGGAUUGGGGUCUGCAACCCGACCCCAUGAAGCUGGAUUCGCUAGUAAUCGCGCAUCAGCCAUGGCGCGGUGAAUACGUUCCCGGGCCUUGUACACACCGCCCGUCAAGCCAUGAAAGCCGGGGGCGCCUGAAGUCCGUGACCGCGAGGGUCGGCCUAGGGUGAAACCGGUGAUUGGGGCUAAGUCGUAACAAGGUAGCCGUACCGGAAGGUGCGGCUGGAACACCUCCUU